AGGAAAAGAAACCAACCGGGAUUGCCUUAGUAACGGCGAGUGAAGCGGCAAAAGCUCAAAUUUGAAAUCUGGCGUCUUCGACGUCCGAGUUGUAAUUUGAAGAAGGCGACUUUGUAGCUGGUCCUUGUCUAUGUUCCUUGGAACAGGACGUCAUAGAGGGUGAGAAUCCCGUGUGGCGAGGAUCCCAGUUAUUUGUAAAGUGCUUUCGACGAGUCGAGUUGUUUGGGAAUGCAGCUCUAAGUGGGUGGUAAAUUCCAUCUAAAGCUAAAUAUUGGCGAGAGACCGAUAGCGAACAAGUACAGUGAUGGAAAGAUGAAAAGAACUUUGAAAAGAGAGUGAAAAAGUACGUGAAAUUGUUGAAAGGGAAGGGCAUUUGAUCAGACAUGGCGUUUGCUUCGGCUUUCGCUGGGCCAGCAUCAGUUUUAGCGGUUGGAUAAAUCCUCGGGAAUGUGGCUCUGCUUCGGUAGAGUGUUAUAGCCCGUGGGAAUACAGCCAGCUGGGACUGAGGAUUGCGACUUUUGUCAAGGAUGCUGGCGUAAUGGUUAAAUGCCGCC
This 554-nucleotide ribosomal RNA is filed under the name Saccharomyces sp. RNAcentral describes it as "partial large subunit ribosomal RNA". It matches the Rfam family "Eukaryotic large subunit ribosomal RNA", at positions 54 to 649 of the family's 3401-position model. The record is from RNAcentral. RNAcentral also lists the same sequence under 1 other name. Lineage: Eukaryota; Fungi; Ascomycota; Saccharomycetes; Saccharomycetales; Saccharomycetaceae.